This 507-nucleotide ribosomal RNA is filed under the name Triticum aestivum (bread wheat). Its description in RNAcentral is "partial small subunit ribosomal RNA". The record is from RNAcentral. Lineage: Eukaryota; Viridiplantae; Streptophyta; Magnoliopsida; Poales; Poaceae.
CCACCCCCGGGAGAUCAUUCAAAGAUCAACUCCGACGCUGCAGUUUCACGGGCAGGGCGUUAUGGUGCUGUUGGGGUGAUUUGCCGUGAUGCGGAAGGACUCUACCAGGGGGCGUCAGCAAUGGUGUUCGGGAACAUUGAAGACCCGGAGGUGCUGGAAGUACUUGGCAUCCGAGAGAGCUUAGCACUAGCUCAUGAUCUAUAUAUCCAAAAGGUGGCUGUGGCUUCAGAUAGCAAAGUUGCAGUGGAGGCAAUUGAGAAGGGUACUUUAGCUGAGUACCAAGCAGUGGUGCUGGAGACAAAACAGUUGUCUAGAAAUUUCAAUUCUUGUAUUUUCUCUCAUGAGUUUAGAACCUCGAAUGUCGAGGCCCACAAACUUGCAAAGCAUGCCUUAACUCUAGGGACCAGCCGCUAUGUUUGGUUAGGCCACCCUGGAGAGCUUAGUUGCAUGAUCUCAUGGUCGAAAGAACAUGUAUUUGACAUUAAGAAAGCAGUAGCAAUAAACUGA